RNAcentral lists this ribosomal RNA (169 nucleotides) under Cytospora atrocirrhata. Its description in RNAcentral is "5.8S ribosomal RNA". It matches the Rfam family "5.8S ribosomal RNA". Rfam says of the family: 5.8S ribosomal RNA (5.8S rRNA) is a component of the large subunit of the eukaryotic ribosome. It is transcribed by RNA polymerase I as part of the 45S precursor that also contains 18S and 28S rRNA. Lineage: Eukaryota; Fungi; Ascomycota; Sordariomycetes; Diaporthales; Cytosporaceae. The record is from RNAcentral.
CUAAAUGAAUCAAAACUUUCAACAACGGAUCUCUUGGUUCUGGCAUCGAUGAAGAACGCAGCGAAAUGCGAUAAGUAAUGUGAAUUGCAGAAUUCAGUGAAUCAUCGAAUCUUUGAACGCACAUUGCGCCCUCUGGUAUUCCAGAGGGCAUGCCUGUUCGAGCGUCAUU